RNAcentral lists this long non-coding RNA (364 nucleotides) under Nicotiana benthamiana. Its description in RNAcentral is "long non-coding RNA (NBEN_LNC036496)". The record is from RNAcentral. Lineage: Eukaryota; Viridiplantae; Streptophyta; Magnoliopsida; Solanales; Solanaceae.
GUUUACCGGAUGACGAACAACUUCUUGAAAAUUGAAAAUCGUUGAAAUUGAACACUUGAAAUCUUCAAUUCAACAACUUCACAAUGUUUCACGAAUUUGCAACAAUAAAUUAAGCACUUGCACUAGAAAGAUUGAAAGAGAGCUUGAGAGAGAUUGAGAGAUAUGUUUCACGAAUUUGCAACAAAAAUUAAGCACUUGCACUAGAAAGAUUGAAAGAGAGCUUGAGAGAGAUUGAUGAAUUUGUGAAUUAAAAUGAAAGAAUGAGGGGGUAUUUAUAGUUGAGAAAUGGGAAAUUCUGUAAUUAUAUAAAGUUUGGGGUUAAAUUAAAGUUUGGGGGCCAAAUGGCUAUUUUUGAAAAUUCCAA